UGGAUACUAUGAUGAAAGCAUAGUUCAGCAGAUUUAACCUCUGAUGAACAAUCAGAAGUCUUUCGCUCCCAUCCGAUGUAUCUG
RNAcentral lists this small nucleolar RNA (84 nucleotides) under Neotoma lepida (desert woodrat). RNAcentral describes it as "Small nucleolar RNA snR60/Z15/Z230/Z193/J17". It matches the Rfam family "Small nucleolar RNA snR60/Z15/Z230/Z193/J17". From Rfam's summary of the family: The members of this family belong to the C/D class of snoRNAs which contain the C (UGAUGA) and D (CUGA) box motifs. Most of the members of the box C/D family function in directing site-specific 2'-O-methylation of substrate RNAs. The family includes the yeast snoRNA snR60 (also known as Z15) and the corresponding human guide snoRNA U80 (SNORD80). Lineage: Eukaryota; Metazoa; Chordata; Mammalia; Rodentia; Cricetidae. The record is from Rfam by way of RNAcentral.